CUCCAAAUAUAUAUUUCUUUCUGUUAACUUGUGAGCCGGCACUUUAACACGAUAAACCUACUCAGUAUGUUUGGCUAGAUUCACUUGACAUAAACAUGCUUUCUUUCUCCUGAAUGUACUGUAAUAUUUGUAUCUGCACUUUAAGUGCCAAUAAACUGAUCAAUCAAGUUAAUCGUACGAAGAUUGGACAGGUUUCAUUCUGAAUAAGAUCGCAUAUGGAGUUUGUGUGUUGUUUUU
This 237-nucleotide long non-coding RNA is filed under the name Mytilus galloprovincialis (Mediterranean mussel). Lineage: Eukaryota; Metazoa; Mollusca; Bivalvia; Mytilida; Mytilidae. The record is from RNAcentral.